UUGCAGGCUGCAACCCGCCUGCAUGAAGUCGGAAUUGCUAGUAAUCGCGGAUCAGCAUGCCGCGGUGAAUACGUUCCCGGGCCUUGUACACACCGCCCGUCACACCAUGGGAGCCGGUAAUACCCGAAGUCAGUAGUCCAACCACGUGAGGACGCUGCCGAAGGUAGGAUUGGCGACUGGGGUGAAGUCGUAACAAGGUAGC
This 202-nucleotide ribosomal RNA is filed under the name uncultured bacterium. RNAcentral describes it as "partial 16S ribosomal RNA". It matches the Rfam family "Bacterial small subunit ribosomal RNA", at positions 1298 to 1500 of the family's 1533-position model. The record is from RNAcentral.